RNAcentral lists this ribosomal RNA (279 nucleotides) under uncultured bacterium. Its description in RNAcentral is "partial 16S ribosomal RNA". It matches the Rfam family "Bacterial small subunit ribosomal RNA", at positions 506 to 784 of the family's 1533-position model. The record is from RNAcentral.
UGCCAGCCGCCGCGGUAAUACGAAGGGCCCGAGCGUUAAGCGGAAUCACUGGGCUUAAAGCGUACGUAGGCGGAUGCGUAAGCGUCUUGUGAAAUCCCACGGCUCAACCGUGGAACUGCAGGGCGAACUGUGCAUCUUGAGGUCGGUAGGGGCUGUCGGAACGAUAGGUGGAGCGGUGAAAUGCGUAGAUAUCUAUCGGAACGCCAAAGGUGAAGACAGGCAGCUGGGCCGAUUCUGACGCUGAGGUACGAAAGCAUGGGUAGCGAACGGGAUUAGAUA